AGUUGGAGCAUGCCCAGGUGCCAGGGCUGCCUGUCCCGCUGAGGAGACAGCAGCCACAGCCACUGAGCACUGAGGUUCAUGCUUUGCUGAAGUCACAGCCUUAGGCUACGUUUUCUUUCAAAAGCAGCAGCAUUAUUUUAAAAGCUUCACUUUCAGAAGUAACUUAAGCACUUCAAUAGUAAGUCUUGCUGGCUCACAGUGAGGUUCACACCCUUAACUGCCUUAAGUUGCCCCUGGGAUAGGCUCAAGGUUCCCACCAUUUCACUGCUUCUCUGACUGAGCUACCAGAUCUUCAGGACAGGGACUCUCACUCCAUAAGACUGGGUUUUAAUAUCCAUGCCUAAAUCACUGGCUUGUUUGGGUGCCAAGAUGUCCAAAAUAAUGGUUGGUCUUUUUGUUGUGGGGCUGACCCUGCAUUCCUCAUGGAGUCAAAGCUCCUCUCACUUCUGAAAGGUGCAAAGAAAAGCAGCCCACUAUCUUCUUGCCAAAUUAUUCUCCAUGGGAGAUUUGAUUUGAAACUCACAAAAUACCAGGAUUUAUGAGGAACUGGUCACAAUGUGAUCAUAAGAACAUACCAACAUUGUAGUUCCCCACCCUUUGAUCUUGGCACUUUAAUGAUUAAUUAGUGCUAAAGUACUGGAAAAAUACCUCACUUGAGGCAGUUUAAAGCUUCUCUUUGUAUAGAUACAAACUAUGACUCACAUGAAAGGAUAACCCAGAACUGCAAGAGGGUGAGAUUAACUCAGAAACCUCUGGUCACGUGCAGAUGUUUGCCCAACUGGACAAAUGGGAGAAUCUGCUCAGCUUUAGGGACUGUUCCCAUUGAACAGCCUACAUUUUCCAUCACAUGAACUGCAAGAAACUCUGUCAACAUGGAGGGAAAUCCAUCCCUUAGAAAGAGACACAUGUUCAAGGAGCUGUGAGCCUUAAAGAAGCAUCACAUCCACAUCUUAUGGCAAUUUGCAGAAAAUAUCCCUCACCUGGGGUGGUUGGAGAGAAACCAUUUUCCCCUUCCUCUGUCACAAGUGUGCAUUUAAAUACUUCCAAAUAUGCUGCAAGGCGUAAGUCCCACUGCCACCAGUGCUGAGAACAAAGCAUGACAUGGGAGGGAAGGCUUUUCUUGCAUAAUCCUGCAGAGAUUACGUGUACUGCACCAAAAAUCAGGUGCUGAAUUUACAUGUUCACAGCCCUGCCUCUCACCCUUCUUCUCCAGCCAUCUGUCCCUGUGCAUGCAAACACUCAGGGACCAAGGACAGGACAAGAGCACUCAACCUAAUCAGAAAUGGCUGAAGUACCCCUGCAGCCAAAACCCAGUGCUAUGUGGAGACCCCAGAACCAAAGUUGUCUGUAACCUUUCUUUUCCCAGAGACCUGUGAACAAAGCCCCCCAGCACUGGGGUGCCUCCAGCCUGGAUUUCCACCUCUGCCUGCUGGUGGGAGCAGCCACAGCUUCCCACAGAGGGACUUCUGUACAUGGCCUGAUAAACCAUGAGAUCAUGCCAAAAUAAAUCAGCCUUUCCUCCGAGGUCACACAGAGACUCAGCUGUCCUCUGCCUCUGGAAAGGAGAUGUUCCUUGGAAGGUGGCUGUCACUCCUGGUAAGCGAAGGAGUAAGAACAGAGGCUCAGAGCCCAGGGACUGGCUCCCCUCUAACAGCUGAAGGAGAAACAAAAGCCUUUUCCAAAACACAGUCAACAGCAAAGAAGGAGACAGAACGGCUUUGAAGUGUACCUCUCCCUCUUGGAUCCAGUGUGAAGAGGUGGGACCACAGCAAGGGCCUGUGAGCAGCCAGUUAUUAUGGCCAGGAAAUUGGGAUGACUUGGAGGAGGUCUGGAGCCCUCAGCAGAGCGUGGCUUCCCCCAGAACCCUGCAGCUUGCCAGUGACCAUCUCAUUUUGUGUCUCACGUGCCUGUUGCUGGCAGGAGCAGCUCACAGCUGAUGCCCCCCACAAUGGAGGGGUUUGGAGGCCACACCUGACAGACAGAGCUGACCCAGGCUGGUGGCUGCAGCAUCCAGGGCCCCAACUAUGGGAACCAGAGACAAACCAGAGGGGAAA
This is a non-coding RNA of Taeniopygia guttata (zebra finch), 2054 nucleotides long. NCBI's taxonomy places the organism in Eukaryota, Metazoa, Chordata, Aves, Passeriformes, Estrildidae. The record is from RefSeq and is a predicted model, not a curated record.